RNAcentral lists this ribosomal RNA (465 nucleotides) under uncultured bacterium. RNAcentral's name for it is "partial 16S ribosomal RNA". It matches the Rfam family "Bacterial small subunit ribosomal RNA", at positions 28 to 507 of the family's 1533-position model. The record is from RNAcentral.
GACGAACGCUGGCGGCGUGCUUAACACAUGCAAGUCGAACGGAAAGGCCCCUUUGUGGGUACUCGAGUGGCGGACGGGUGAGUAACACGUAAGUAACCUUCCCUUGACUUCGGGAUAACUUCAGGAAACUGGGGCCAAUACCGGUUCGGAAUCCUUUCUGCAUGGUGGGGGUUGGAAAGCUUCGGCGGUUUUGGAUGGACUCGCGGGUUAUCAGCUUGUUGGUGGGGUAGUGGGUUACCAAGGCUUUUACGGGUAGCCGGACUGAGAGGGCGACCGGCCACAUUGGGACUUAGGUGCGGCACAGGUUGCUACGGGAGGCAGCAGUGGGGAAUAUUGCACGAUGGGCGGAGGCCGGAUGAAGAAACGCCGCGGGCGGGAUGACGGUCUUCGGGUUGUAAACCGCUUUCAGAAGGGACGAAGCUUGUGGUGACGGUACCUGAAGAAGAAGCAACGGCUAACUACGUG